RNAcentral lists this ribosomal RNA (460 nucleotides) under uncultured bacterium. RNAcentral's name for it is "partial 16S ribosomal RNA". It matches the Rfam family "Bacterial small subunit ribosomal RNA", at positions 338 to 795 of the family's 1533-position model. The record is from RNAcentral.
GCUACGGGGCGCAGCAGUGAGGAAUAUUGGCCAAUGGACGCAAGUCUGAACCAGCCAUGCCGCGUGCAGGAAGACGGCUCUAUGAGUUGUAAACUGCUUUUGUACGAGGGUAAACGCAGAUACGCGUAUCUGUCUGAAAGUAUCGUACGAAUAAGGAUCGGCUAACUCCGUGGCAGCAGCCGCGGUAAUACGGAGGAUUCAAGCGUUAUCCGGAUUUAUGGGGUUUAAAGGGUGCGUAGGCGGUCGGAUAAGUUAGAGGUGAAAUCCCGAGGCUCAACUUCGGAAUUGCCUCUGAUACUGUUCGGCUAGAGAGUAGUGGCGGUAGGCGGAAUGUAUGGUGUAGCGGUGAAAUGCUUAGAGAUCCUACAGAACACCGAGUGCGAAGGCAGCUUACCAAGCUACUUCUGACGUUGAGGCACGAAAGCGUGGGGAGCAAACAGGAUUAGAUACCCUUGUAGUC